RNAcentral lists this ribosomal RNA (451 nucleotides) under uncultured bacterium. Its description in RNAcentral is "partial 16S ribosomal RNA". It matches the Rfam family "Bacterial small subunit ribosomal RNA", at positions 354 to 796 of the family's 1533-position model. The record is from RNAcentral.
GUGGGGAAUAUUGGACAAUGGGCGCAAGCCUGAUCCAGCCAUGCCGCGUGUGUGAAGAAGGCCUUUUGGUUGUAAAGCACUUUAAGCGAGGAGGAGGCUCCUUUAGUUAAUACCUAAAGAGAGUGGACGUUACUCGCAGAAUAAGCACCGGCUAACUCUGUGCCAGCAGCCGCGGUAAUACAGAGGGUGCGAGCGUUAAUCGGAUUUACUGGGCGUAAAGCGUGCGUAGGCGGCUUUUUAAGUCGUAUGUGAAAUCCCUGAGCUUAACUUAGGAAUUGCAUUCGAUACUGGAAAGCUAGAGUAUGGGAGAGGAUGGUAGAAUUCCAGGUGUAGCGGUGAAAUGCGUAGAGAUCUGGAGGAAUACCGAUGGCGAAGGCAGCCAUCUGGCCUAAUACUGACACUGAGGUGCGAAAGCAUGGGGAGCAAACAGGAUUAGAAACCCCAGUAGUCC